Molecule: ribosomal RNA, 429 nt
Filed under: Pseudomonadota bacterium
Lineage: Bacteria; Pseudomonadati; Pseudomonadota
Description: Proteobacteria bacterium partial 16S ribosomal RNA
Rfam family: Bacterial small subunit ribosomal RNA
Source: RNAcentral
UGGGGAAUAUUGGACAAUGGGCGAAAGCCUGAUCCAGCCAUGCCGCGUGUGUGAAGAAGGUCUUCGGAUUGUAAAGCACUUUAAGUUGGGAGGAAGGGCAGUAAGCGAAUACCUUGCUGUUUUGACGUUACCGACAGAAUAAGCACCGGCUAACUCUGUGCCAGCAGCCGCGGUAAUGCAGAGGGUGCAAGCGUUAAUCGGAAUUACUGGGCGUAAAGCGCGCGUAGGUGGUUCGUUAAGUUGAAUGUGAAAGCCCCGGGCUCAACCUGGGAACUGCAUCCAAAACUGGCGAGCUAGAGUAGGGCAGAGGGUGGUGGAAUUUCCUGUGUAGCGGUGAAAUGCGUAGAUAUAGGAAGGAACACCAGUGGCGAAGGCGACCACCUGGGCUCAUACUGACACUGAGGUGCGAAAGCGUGGGGAGCAAACAGG